AUGCGAUACGUAAUGUGAAUUGCAGAAUCCAGUGAAUCAUCGAAUCUUUGAACGCACAUUGCGCCCGCCAGUAUUCUGGCGGGCAUGCCUGUCCGAGCGUCAUUUCAACCAUCAAGCCUAGUGCUUGUGUUGGGGCCCCGCGGCUGCCGCGGGCCCUGAAAACCAGUGGCGGGCUCGAAGUCGAACCGAGUGCAGUAAAUUUCUUCGCUUGGGAAGGUGACGAGUUCCGGCCGUAAAAAGCCCAACUUUAUCAAGGUUGACCUCGGAUCAGGUAGGACUACCCGCUGAACUUAA
This 294-nucleotide unclassified non-coding RNA is filed under the name uncultured Cercophora. RNAcentral describes it as "partial contains 5.8S ribosomal RNA, internal transcribed spacer 2, and large subunit ribosomal RNA". The stretch from base 1 to 102 matches the Rfam family "5.8S ribosomal RNA", at positions 53 to 154 of the family's 154-position model. Lineage: Eukaryota; Fungi; Ascomycota; Sordariomycetes; Sordariales; Lasiosphaeriaceae. The record is from RNAcentral.